RNAcentral lists this ribosomal RNA (456 nucleotides) under uncultured bacterium. RNAcentral describes it as "bacterial SSU rRNA". It matches the Rfam family "Bacterial small subunit ribosomal RNA", at positions 29 to 524 of the family's 1533-position model. The record is from RNAcentral.
AACGAACGCUGGCGGCAUGCCUAACACAUGCAAGUCGAACGGGAUCCUAGCUUGCUAGGUGAGAGUGGCGGACGGGUGAGUAACACGUGGGAAUCUGCCUUUUGGUUCGGGAUAACCGCGGGAAACUGCGGCUAAUACCGAAUGCCCUCGAGAGAGGAAAGAUUUAUCGCCAGAAGAGGAGCCCGCGUCCGAUUAGGUAGUUGGUGGGGUAAAGGCCUACCAAGCCGACGAUCGGUAGCUGGUCUGAGAGGAUGAUCAGCCACACUGGGACUGAGAUACGGCCCAGACUCCUACGGGAGGCAGCAGUGGGGAAUAUUGGACAAUGGGGGCAACCCUGAUCCAGCAAUGCCGCGUGAGUGAUGAAGGCCUUAGGUUGUAAAGCUCUUUGCCAGGGAAGAUGAUGACUGUACCUGGAGAAUAAGCCCCGGCUAACUUCGUGCCAGCAGCCGCGGUAAU